CGCGGGAAUUCGAUUAGAGUUUGAUUAUGGCUCAGGACGAACGCUGGCGGCGUGCCUAACACAUGCAAGUCUUGGGAGAAAGGGGUAGCAAUAUCCCUAGUACACCGGCGCAAGGGUGAGUAACACGUAGGCAACCUGCCUUUAGGACGAGGAUAACUCCGAGAAAUCGGGGCUAAUACUCGAUUAUGCAGCGGCACCGCAUGGCGACAGUUGUUAAAAGCCCGCAAGGGUGCCUAAAGAUGGGCCUGCGUCCCAUUAGGUAGUUGGUGAGGUAAUGGCCCACCAAGCCUACGAUGGGUAGCUGGUCUGAGAGGAUGAUCAGCCACACUGGAACUGAGAUACGGUCCAGACUCCUACGGGAGGCAGCAGUGAGGAAUAUUGCGCAAUGGCCGAAAGGCUGACGCAGCGACGCCGCGUGAAGGAUGAAGUCCGUUAGGAUGUAAACUUCUUUUGCAGGGGAUGAAUGUGGUGCCUUCGGGUGCCAUUGACCGUACCCUGCGAAUAAGGAUCGGCUAACUACGUGCCAGCAGCCGCGGUAAUACGUAGGAUCCGAGCGUUGUCCGGAAUUACUGGGUGUAAAGGGCGUGUAGGUGGAACUUUAAGUCGNUNNNNNNNGCCUGCAGCUUAACUGCAGNACUGCCU
RNAcentral lists this ribosomal RNA (642 nucleotides) under uncultured bacterium. RNAcentral's name for it is "bacterial SSU rRNA". It matches the Rfam family "Bacterial small subunit ribosomal RNA", at positions 1 to 626 of the family's 1533-position model. The record is from RNAcentral.